Heterocephalus glaber (naked mole-rat) is the source of this 2245-nucleotide non-coding RNA. The record is from RefSeq and is a predicted model, not a curated record. NCBI's taxonomy places the organism in Eukaryota, Metazoa, Chordata, Mammalia, Rodentia, Bathyergidae.
GGAUCGAACCCAGGACCUUGCGCUUUCGAGGCAGGCAUGGCUAAAUCCCCAGCCCUCAUCUCAUUUAAUUUCACAAGAACACAGUGAACAAAGUAGGAGCUGUCAUUGCUUCCAUUCUCCUGAUGAAGAAGCUGAGGUUUAGAAAAGAGGAAACUGCCCACAGCCAUGUGGCUGGCAUGUCAGUGCUGAAUGUUCUCUGAGGCUUCACUUCAGAACCAAGCAGGUGGAGCGAAGGGUGUUCGUGUGGUGAGCGCAGUUCCUCUCUGGUUUCCUGUUGGCCCUGCGGGGUGAGACUGCUGUCACCUCUGCUCCCGCCCUCCGCCCUCUGCCUCCACAGUCAUCUCUGCCUCUGUCUCUAGUCCGGGGUAACUGGGUCUCCUUCCUGCCUUCCCUGCCCAUCUCUUUGUGUGCCCAAGCUGUCAUCCUUGCAAGCAGCAGAUGGCCAGGCCAGAACAAGUGUCCCGCAGCAGACAGAGCCGGGACAGGGUCAUGCAUGCUGCCCCCCGGGGAGGGGAACCACACAAGACCCAGGUGGGAUGCCUCUUCAUUCGGGUUCAUUGAGGAAUGCCUGUGUCCUGACUGGAGGUGGCUUCCGGCCUUCCUCUCUGUGCCCGGACCUGACUGGGACUUGGGUCUUCUCCAUGCUACCUCCUGUUUCAUCGUCUUUGCUUUGCCCAUAGGAAUAAAGAAGAAAAGGAGGAAGAUGGCAAAGUAUGGAGCAAUGGUGUCAGUGACAUGAGCUGAGGGACCUCAUGUCCCCCAGAGCCAAUGUCUGCAUUUUUUGAGCCUUGCUUUGGAUAAUGUUUGUGUGUAACUAUCUUUAAUUUUACUUUUUAGAGAUCAUCAAAUGGAAAAGUACGUGAUGUUUAUCUAUCCUGGUGCCCACAAAGGAGUCAAUCAUGGAGACAUAGACAUGGAACUCUAGGGACUGAAUCUGGGAGGGGAUAAAGUGCUCCUGAAGCCGCAGGACCUCAAACCUGUAGGUCAGAAACCAGUGUCACGUGAUUUCUACCCUAACUUUGACCUUAAAUUUAAGCCAGUUCCUUCAGAUCUAGCCUCAAUGUCUGGGCUAGGAGAAGUGAGAAUGACUUUGAAAUGUAACACAGAGGCUUUUUACAGCAAAAGUAAGCAAUGCCGAGUAAAUGAUGUGUCAGUCCUGAGCUGCAGUUGUUCCAUAAAUUUACUUCCAGCCACAGCAGCUGUUGAAGUUGUCCCCAUUUUGCAGAGUUAGAAACUGAGGCCUUAGAGAUGCUUUGUGACUUGGCCAAGGUCAUCUAAUUACCAAUGAGACUCAGUAUUUGAACCUAGCACUCUGAAUCUAAAGCCUGCCUGUCAUCACCAUGACAUCAUUGCUCUUUAUGUGAGAAAGUGAUUAUAUCAAAAUGUAAUUAUCAGGGCCAGGGAUUUAGCUCAGUGGUUUUGCUGCCUGCUGUGCAAGCUCAGGGACCCAAGUUCGAUCCCCGGUACCAAAAAAAAAAAUGUAAUUAUCAUCCAUCGUCGUGUAGCACGUUAUGAUAGCCCACAGAACUGACAGCUUGCUAUGUGUCCGCGAGGCACACCAUGCUGUACAUGCACUGCCUCUUUCAGUCCUAUUAGCACCCAGCAAGCAGGGUGCUACAGCGGUCCUGGUGUUUUGGAGCAGAUCCAGGGCUCAGCAAGUCUGGGUGACUUGCCUGAGGCUAUGGAGAAAGUCAGUGCUGAAAACAGGCACACACCUGGAGCCUUAAGUCCCAAGAACUAAUGAGGAAGCUAAUCUCAUGCUGAUUAAACACAGCCUUCCUUCUCAGCCUGUGUUCGAACAUGUCUCAUGUCUGAGACAGUCAAUUUGCAGUGUAGGCAUUGAGUUUCUUGUCUUGGACCCCAGGAAUCCAAAUGGCCGAUGUAAAGGUCAAACUCAUUUCUUUGUCCCAGGUAGCUCCCUGCGUAACUCAUUACCUAAAGGGGGUCUUAAUGCAUGGAGUUGAGUCAUGAGUCUAUAGAUUGUUCCUGAACUUCCUAGCUGUCCUUCUUUGCUAAGGCAUUAGCUGAAACACCUCUGCCUCUAUUUUACACUGUCCCAACCAACCUGGACUGACUCAGUCUACAUCACAAGGCCAUAAUCUUGUUCCCUUAAGGAAAAGACUCUUUUUAUCAGAGUUACCUUCAGUUGAUGUGGUCUCUGUAAAAUAAGAUUAACUCUAGGCCCCUGUGUCCAGCGUCCUGUGAAUUCACCAUGUAUGUGUGGUGAAUCUGGAAAAAAAAAAAA